This 518-nucleotide ribosomal RNA is filed under the name uncultured Staphylococcus sp. Its description in RNAcentral is "bacterial SSU rRNA". It matches the Rfam family "Bacterial small subunit ribosomal RNA", at positions 8 to 507 of the family's 1533-position model. Lineage: Bacteria; Bacillati; Bacillota; Bacilli; Caryophanales; Staphylococcaceae. The record is from RNAcentral.
AGAGUUUGAUCCUGGCUCAGGAUGAAACGCUGGCGGCGUGCCUAAUACAUGCAAGUCGAGCGAACGGAUAAGGAGCUUGCUCCUUUGAAGUUAGCGGCGGACGGGUGAGUAACACGUGGGUAACCUACCUAUAAGACUGGAAUAACUUCGGGAAACCGGAGCUAAUGCCGGAUAACAUUUGGAACCGCAUGGUUCUAAAGUAAAAGAUGGUUUUGCUAUCACUUAUAGAUGGACCCGCGCCGUAUUAGCUAGUUGGUAAGGUAACGGCUUACCAAGGCAACGAUACGUAGCCGACCUGAGAGGGUGAUCGGCCACACUGGAACUGAGACACGGUCCAGACUCCUACGGGAGGCAGCAGUAGGGAAUCUUCCGCAAUGGACGAAAGUCUGACGGAGCAACGCCGCGUGAGUGAUGAAGGUUUUCGGAUCGUAAAACUCUGUUAUUAGGGAAGAACAAAUGCGUAAGUAACUGUGCGCAUCUUGACGGUACCUAAUCAGAAAGCCACGGCUAACUACGUG